UACGAAGGGUGCAAGCGUUAAUCGGAAUUACUGGGCGUAAAGGGUGCGUAGGCGGCUCUUUAAGUGAGGUGUGAAAGCCCUGGGCUUAACCCAGGAAUUGCACUUCAAACUGGAGAGCUAGAGUGCAGGAGAGGAAAGUGGAAUUCCCAGUGUAGCGGUGAAAUGCGUAGAGAUUGGGAGGAACACCAGUGGCGAAGGCGACUUUCUGGACUGUAACUGACGCUGAGGCACGAGAGCGUGGGGAGCAAACAGG
This 253-nucleotide ribosomal RNA is filed under the name uncultured bacterium. Its description in RNAcentral is "partial 16S ribosomal RNA". It matches the Rfam family "Bacterial small subunit ribosomal RNA", at positions 524 to 776 of the family's 1533-position model. The record is from RNAcentral.